Molecule: ribosomal RNA, 548 nt
Filed under: uncultured bacterium
Lineage: Bacteria
Description: partial 16S ribosomal RNA
Rfam family: Bacterial small subunit ribosomal RNA
Source: RNAcentral
UGGGGAAUUUUGGACAAUGGGCGCAAGCCUGAUCCAGCCAUGCCGCGUGCGGGAAGAAGGCCUUCGGGUUGUAAACCGCUUUUGUCAGGGAAGAAAUCUUCUGAGUUAAUACCUCGGGAGGAUGACGGUACCUGAAGAAUAAGCACCGGCUAACUACGUGCCAGCAGCCGCGGUAAUACGUAGGGUGCAAGCGUUAAUCGGAAUUAUUGGGCGUAAAGCGUGCGCAGGCGGUUUUGUAAGACAGAGGUGAAAUCCCCGGGCUCAACCUGGGAACUGCCUUUGUGACUGCAAGGCUUGAGUGCGGCAGAGGGGGAUGGAAUUCCGCGUGUAGCAGUGAAAUGCGUAGAUAUGCGGAGGAACACCGAUGGCGAAGGCAAUCCCCUGGGCCUGCACUGACGCUCAUGCACGAAAGCGUGGGGAGCAAACAGGAUUAGAUACCCUGGUAGUCCACGCCCUAAACGAUGUCAACUGGUUGUUGGGAAGGUUCCUUCUCAGUAACGUAGCUAACGCGUGAAGUUGACCGCCUGGGGAGUACGGCCGCAAGGUUG